RNAcentral lists this ribosomal RNA (466 nucleotides) under uncultured bacterium. Its description in RNAcentral is "bacterial SSU rRNA". It matches the Rfam family "Bacterial small subunit ribosomal RNA", at positions 338 to 795 of the family's 1533-position model. The record is from RNAcentral.
CCUACGGGUGGCUGCAGUAGGGAAUAUUGCGCAAUGGGGGAAACCCUGACGCAGCAAUGCCACGUGAGUGAGGAAGGCCCUUGGGUUGUAAAGCUCUGUCCUAUAGGAAGAACUGCGCUACGGUUAAUACCCGUAGCGUUUGACGGUACUAUAGAAGAAAGCACCGGCUAACUCCGUGCCAGCAGCCGCGGUAAUACGGAGGGUGCAAGCGUUGUUCGGAUUUACUGGGCGUAAAGCGCGCGCAGGCGGAUUAGCAAGUCAGAUGUGAAAUCCCGGGGCUCAACCCCGGAACUGCGUCUGAAACUGUUAGUCUAGAGUCUCAUAGGGGGCAGGGGAAUUUCACGUGUAGGGGUAAAAUCCGUAGAGAUGUGAAGGAACACCCGUGGCGAAGGCGCCUGCCUGGAUGAGCACUGACGCUGAGGCGCGAAAGCGUGGGGAGCAAACAGGAUUAGAUACCCCAGUAGUC